CCUACGGGAUGCAGCAGUGAGGAAUAUUGGUCAAUGGACGCAAGUCUGAACCAGCCAUGCCGCGUGCAGGAAGACGGCUCUAUGAGUUGUAAACUGCUUUUGGACGAGGGUAAAUCCCGAUACGUGUAUCGGGUUGAAAGUAUCGUACGAAUAAGGCUCGGCUAACGCUGUGCCAGCAGCCGCGGUAAUACGGAGGGUUCAAGCGUUAUCCGUAUUUAUUGGGUUUAAAGGGUGCGUAGGCGGUUUGAUACGUUAGAGGUGAAAUCCCGAGGCUCAACUCCGGCACUGCCCAUGAUACUGUCGGGCUAGAGUUUAGUUGCGGUAGGCGGAAUGUAUGGUGUAGCGGUGAAAUGCAUAGAGAUCAUACAGAACACCGAUUGCGAAGGCAGCUUACCGAGCUACGACUGACGUUGAGGCACGAAAGCGUGGGGAGCAAACAGGAUUAGAUACCCGUGUAGUC
RNAcentral lists this ribosomal RNA (460 nucleotides) under uncultured bacterium. Its description in RNAcentral is "partial 16S ribosomal RNA". It matches the Rfam family "Bacterial small subunit ribosomal RNA", at positions 338 to 795 of the family's 1533-position model. The record is from RNAcentral.